Molecule: ribosomal RNA, 409 nt
Filed under: uncultured bacterium
Lineage: Bacteria
Description: bacterial SSU rRNA
Rfam family: Bacterial small subunit ribosomal RNA
Source: RNAcentral
UGGGGAAUUUUCCGCAAUGGGCGAAAGCCUGACGGAGCAAUACCGCGUGAGGGAAGACAGCCUACUGGGUUGUAAACCUCUUUUUUCAGGGAGGAAAAAAAUGACGUGUACCUGAAGAAUAAGCAUCGGCUAACUCCGUGCCAGCAGCCGCGGUAAGACGGAGGAUGCAAGUGUUAUCCGGAAUUACUGGGCGUAAAGCGUCUGUAGGUGGUUUAAUAAGUCAACUGUUAAAUCUUGAGGCUUAACUUCAAAACAGCAGUCGAAACUAUUAGACUAGAGUAUAGUAGGGGUAAAGGGAAUUUCCAGUGGAGCGGUGAAAUGCGUAGAUAUUGGAAAGAACACCGAUGGCGAAAGCACUUUACUGGGCUAUUACUAACACUCAGAGACGAAAGCUAGGGUAGCAAAUGGG